This 468-nucleotide ribosomal RNA is filed under the name uncultured bacterium. Its description in RNAcentral is "partial 16S ribosomal RNA". It matches the Rfam family "Bacterial small subunit ribosomal RNA", at positions 28 to 507 of the family's 1533-position model. The record is from RNAcentral.
GACGAACGCUGGCGGCGUGCUUAACACAUGCAAGUCGAACGGAAAGACCCUGCUUUUGUGGGGUGCUCGAGUGGCGAACGGGUGAGUAACACGUGAGUAACCUGCCCUUGACUUUGGGAUAACUUCAGGAAACUGGGGCUAAUACCGGAUAGGAGCUCCUGCUGCAUGGUGGGGGUUGGAAAGUUUCGGCGGUUGGGGCUGGACUGGCGGCUGAUCAGCUUGUUGGUGGGGUAGUGGCUUACCAAGGCUUUGACGGGUAGCCGGCCUGAGAGGGUGACCGGCCACAUUGGGACUGAGAUACGGCCCAGACUGCUACGGGAGGCAGCAGUGGGGAAUAUUGCACAAUGGGCGGAGGCCUGAUGCAGCAACGCCGCGUGCUGGAUGAAGGCCUUUGGGUUGUAAACCGCUUUCGCCUGUGACGAAGCGUGAGUGACGGUAAUGGGUAAAGAAGCACCGGCUAACUACGUG